Molecule: ribosomal RNA, 468 nt
Filed under: uncultured Peptococcaceae bacterium
Lineage: Bacteria; Bacillati; Bacillota; Clostridia; Eubacteriales; Peptococcaceae
Description: bacterial SSU rRNA
Rfam family: Bacterial small subunit ribosomal RNA
Source: RNAcentral
UACCUACGGGCGGCUGCAGUGGGGAAUUUUCCGCAAUGGGCGAAAGCCUGACGGAGCAAUGCCGCGUGAAUGAAGAAGGUCUUCGGAUCGUAAAGUUCUGUCAUUAGGGAAGAAAGGUACGUAUGUGAAUAAUGUACGUAUUUGACGGUACCUAAGGAGGAAGCCACGGCUAACUACGUGCCAGCAGCCGCGGUAAUACGUAGGUGGCGAGCGUUGUCCGGAAUUACUGGGCGUAAAGGGCGUGUAGGCGGGAAUUUAAGUCAGAUGUGAAAACCCCGGGCUUAACUUGGGGACUGCAUUUGAUACUGGAUUUCUUGAGGACAGGAGAGGAAAGCGGAAUUCCUAGUGUAGCGGUGAAAUGCGUAGAUAUUAGGAGGAACACCAGUGGCGAAGGCGGCUUUCUGGACUGUAACUGACGCUGAGGCGCGAAAGCGUGGGGAGCGAACGGGAUUAGAUACCCUAGUAGUC